RNAcentral lists this ribosomal RNA (440 nucleotides) under uncultured bacterium. Its description in RNAcentral is "partial 16S ribosomal RNA". It matches the Rfam family "Bacterial small subunit ribosomal RNA", at positions 338 to 795 of the family's 1533-position model. The record is from RNAcentral.
CCUACGGGAUGCUGCAGUGGGGAAUAUUGCACAAUGGGGGAAACCCUGAUGCAGCGACGCCGCGUGAGUGAAGAAGUAUUUCGGUACGUAAAGCUCUAUCAGCAGGGAAGAAAAUGACGGUACCUGACUAAGAAGCCCCGGCUAACUACGUGCCAGCAGCCGCGGUAAUACGUAGGGGGCAAGCGUUAUCCGGAUUUACUGGGUGUAAAGGGAGCGUAGACGGCAGCGCAAGUCUGGAGUGAAAUCCCAUGGCUUAACCAUGGAACUGCUUUGGAAACUGUGCAGCUAGAGUGCAGGAGAGGUAAGCGGAAUUCCUAGUGUAGCGGUGAAAUGCGUAGAUAUUAGGAGGAACACCAGUGGCGAAGGCGGCUUACUGGACUGUAACUGACGUUGAGGCUCGAAAGCGUGGGGAGCAAACAGGAUUAGAUACCCCAGUAGUC